RNAcentral lists this ribosomal RNA (2049 nucleotides) under wastewater metagenome. RNAcentral describes it as "bacterial LSU rRNA". It matches the Rfam family "Bacterial large subunit ribosomal RNA", at positions 3 to 2149 of the family's 2925-position model. The record is from RNAcentral.
UCAAGCGAACAAGGGCGCAGGGCGAAUGCCUUGGCACUGGGAGCCGAUGAAAGACGUGGUAAGCUGCGAUAAGCUUCGGGGAGGAGCAAACAUCCUUUGAUCCGGAGAUUUCUGAAUGAGGAAACUCACUUAGGUUCAUAUCUAAGUACGUUGUACUGAAUCCAUAGGUACAUCGGGGGAACCGCCUGAACUGAAACAUCUAAGUAGGGCGAGGAAGAGACAUCAAACGAGAUUCCGUAAGUAGUGGCGAGCGAACGCGGAAGAGGGCAAACCGAGAGUAGAAAUACUUUCGGGGUACGGAGCGCAUUUAGGACUUAAGUUGCUAAUCGAAUGGCAUGGGAAGGCCAACCAAAGAGUGUGAGAGUCACGUAGAUGAAAGCGACGAGAGCUGCGCGAGUUCCAGAGUACGGCCAGACACGUGAAACCUGGUCGGAAGAUGGGGGGACCACCCUCCAACCCUAAAUACUACCCAGUGACCGAUAGCGUAUAGUACUGUGAAGGAAAGGUGAAAAGGACCCCGGGAGGGGAGUGAAAGAGAACCUGAAACCUUGUGCCUACAAGCACAUAGAGCACAUCAACGUGUGAUAUGGUACUUUUUGUAGAACGGUCCGGCGAGCGAUUGUACGUUGCGAGCUUAAGGUCUUAAGGACUGGAGGCGUAGCGAGAGCGAGUCUGAAGAGGGCGUUCAGUAACAUGCAAUGGGCCCGAAACCGGGUGACCUACCCAUGAUCAGGCUGAAGUGAAAGUAAAAUUUCAUGGAGGGCCGAACCGACCUCCGUUGAAAAGGCGGCGGAUGAAUUGUGGGUAGCGGAGAAAUUCCAAUCGAACUCGGAGAUAGCUGGUUCUCCCCGAAAUAGCUUUAGGGCUAGCCUCAUAUUAGAUACCCGGAGGUAAAGCACUGAAUGGCCUAGCGUCCGAGAGGAUAGCGAAGCCUAUCAAACUAAGAAUGCCGGAGUAUUGAUGUAUGGGAGUCAGACAGUGUGAGAUAAAUCUCAUUGUCAAAAGGGAAACAGCCCAGAUCUACAGCUAAGGUCCCAAAUUGUAUCUAAGUGGAAAACGAUGUGGAAAUACGCAGACAACCAGGAUGUUGGCUCAGAAGCAGCCAUUCAUUUAAAGAGUGCGUAAUAGCUCACUGGUCGAGCGUCUCUGCGCGGAAAAUUUAACGGGGCUAAGAUACAAACCGAAGCUUAGGCUGCACUUUUAGUGCGGGGUAGGGGAGCGUUGUGUAAGCGGAGAAACGAUAGCGUAAGCGGUCGUGGAGUUUACAGAAGUGAGAAUGCCGGAAUGAGUAGCGCGAAUGUGGUGAGAAUCCACAUGGCCGGAAACCUCAGGUUUUUGGAGGAAGGUUCGUCCGCUCCAAGUUAGGCGGGAGCUAAGGUCAGGCCGAAAGGCGUAGCCGAUGCACAGACGGUAGAGAUUCCGUCCCCACCGAAAGAUUUAAGCACAGGGACACUUUUUGAAGGUCGGAGCCAGGUGUUGGUUCUGGUAGUGAUCGAGGGAAAUAUAGUACCGAAGUCCGGCUGGAGGAGAGGCGAGAAAAGCUGUGUGUAUAUCUAAGGUGCCCGUACCGCAAACCGACACAGGUAGGUAGGAAGAAGAUUCUAAGGCCAACGGGAGAAGGGUUGUUAAGGAACUCGGCAAGUUGACCCCGUAACUUCGGAAUAAGGGGUGCUCACGAGAGUGAGCCGCAGAGAAUAGGCCCAGGCAACUGUUUACCAAAAACACAGGUUUGUGCUAAAUCGAAAGAUGACGUAUACGAGCUGACGCCUGCCCGGUGCUGGAAGGUUAAAAGGAGAUGUGCAAGCAUUGAAUUGAAGCCCCAGUGAACGGCGGCCGUAACUAUAACGGUCCUAAGGUAGCGAAAUUCCUUGUCAGGUAAGUUCUGACCCGCAUGAAAGGCGUAAUGAUCUGGGCACUGUCUCAACAGCCCGCCCGGCGAAAUUGUAGUACCGGUGAAGAUGCCGGUUACCCGCGACAAGACGGAAAGACCCCAUGGAGCUUUACUGUAGCCUGAUAUUGGGUUUCGGUGUUGCAUGCACAGGAUAGAUG